Molecule: unclassified non-coding RNA, 296 nt
Filed under: Hevea brasiliensis (rubber tree)
Lineage: Eukaryota; Viridiplantae; Streptophyta; Magnoliopsida; Malpighiales; Euphorbiaceae
Source: RNAcentral
CCCUCGUGGGCUACACCCAAAAUUUUAGUAGUUGACAUCCACAGUGACCAUAAUAUCUUAGUUUUACCAGGUACUAGACAACAUUUACAGUAUGCAGGCAACUUGCUAAAUGAUUUAGAAGGUUUGCGCUCCAUAUGAUAAUGCAUUCUGGCGUGUAUCUCUCUAUCUUCUGCCUUGGUCUUUGUUUUGCUGUGUCCUACGCAGCAAAAUGCCGAGAAGGGCAAAUGCCAUUGCAUCAAAUUAUAGGCUCAAUAUAUUUCGUUCAAUGCAGGUGCACAGGAAGAUAAAUAAUGCCA